CAGCCGCCGCGGUAAUACGAAGGGGGCUAGCGUUGCUCGGAAUGACUGGGCGUAAAGGGCGCGUAGGCGGUUUGUACAGUCAGAUGUGAAAUUCCUGGGCUCAACCUGGGGACUGCAUUUGAGACGUACGGACUUGAGUGGAGAAGAGGGUCGUGGAAUUUCCAGUGUAGAGGUGAAAUUCGUAGAUAUUGGAAAGAACACCGGUGGCGAAGGCGGCGACCUGGUCUUUAACUGACGCUGAGGCGCGAAAGCGUGGGGAGCAAACAGGAUUAGAUACCCCCGUAGUCCCUGUCUCUUAUAA
Molecule: ribosomal RNA, 301 nt
Filed under: uncultured bacterium
Lineage: Bacteria
Description: partial 16S ribosomal RNA
Rfam family: Bacterial small subunit ribosomal RNA
Source: RNAcentral